CAGGCCCUGGAUGAAGGCCACCGGUUUGCCGUAGCCGCUGGUUUCAAGCAGGAGCCCAGAGGGAAUGGCUCCCGGUCUGUUGGUGCUCCUGGCCCUGUGGAACAGCCAAUUCGUGUGGGAGCGACACCC
RNAcentral lists this small nucleolar RNA (129 nucleotides) under Calidris pygmaea (Spoon-billed sandpiper). Lineage: Eukaryota; Metazoa; Chordata; Aves; Charadriiformes; Scolopacidae. The record is from RNAcentral.